GUAUUUUUGCUAUCUGAAAGUUUUGGUUUUGUUUUUGUUUGUUUUAGCAUUUGUUCCUGUUUUGAGGGUUCACAUAUGUUUCUGAGGAUGUUAAAUAGGUAUUUUGUUUCUUUUUAAAGUUUUCUGCUCCCUACAUUGUCUCUGUUUCUUCCAGGUUCUUCGUGUUUCCGGUUUUGGUGGUGUCUUUCGUGUUAGAGGAGUGCUUAAAAGCGGAGAACCUUUGCCAGCUGUGGUCAGAGGGAGUCGUGACUGUGGAAGAAAGGCACAGAGAGACUCAACGCUGCUGGCUUUGAAGAUGGAGGAAGAGGGCCCUGAGCCAAGGAAUGCAAUGGGCCUGUAGAAGCUGGAAAAGCUCUUCAGAACCUGAAAGGCAGCAUAGCUCCUGGGACUGUGUGUGUGUUAUACAGCGGCUAAGGAGGAAGAUGAUUUGUUUCGGGCUGUGCGCCCUCUGCUCCUUUGUCGAAGAUUAGCUGUCCAUAAAACUAAACAUAUUGUUACCACCAUGAUCCAACAGUCAUGUUCCUUGAUAUUUACCCAAAGGAGCUGAAAACUUACGUCCACACAAAAACUUGCACAUGGAUGUGUAUAGCAACUUUAUUCAUAAUUGCCAAAACUUGGAGGCAACCAGGAUGUCCUUCAGUAGGUGAAUGGAUAAAUAAGCUGUGGUCCAUCCAGACAAUGGAAUAUUAUUUAAUGCCAAAAAAUGAGCUAUCAAGUCAUGAAAAGACAUGGAGAAAACUUAGAUGCAUAUUAGUAAAUGGAAGAAACCCAUCUGAAAAGGAUACGUGCUAUAUAAUUCCAACUGUAUGACAUUCUGGAAAAGGCAAAACUAUGGAGUCAGUAAAAAGAUCAGGGGUUGCUAAGGGGAGGGAGAGAUGAAUAGGCAGAGCACAGAAGAUUUUUAGGGCAGUGAAAAUAUUCUGCAUGAUACUAUAAUGGUAAAUACAUGUCAUUAUACACUUGUCCGAACUGAUAGAAUGUAUAACACCAAAAGUGAACCCUAAUGUAAACUCUGGAUUCUGUGUGAUAAUGAUGUGUCAGUGUAGGUUCAUCAGUUGUAACAAAUAUACCACUCUGGUGGGGGAUAUGGAAAGGCUACACGUGUGUGAGGGCAAGGGACUUAUGGGACGUCUCUGAGCCUUCCUCAAUUUUGCUGUAAAUCUAAAACUGCUCUUAAAAAAAUCUUAAAAAAUUCUCCUUCUUACCCCACUCUAGUGGUCUUCAAGCCAAUGGUUAGGUCACCCAGAGAAAAGACCCUAGAACCCCCAGCUCCAUGCUAUGAUAGGCACCUCUCUUCUGUCUUCAGGUGUUGCCUGGACCAGGACCCGGAUCCACAACCAUAGGUCUCAAUCUGAACUUAGCCCAUUAAGGAUCUUUCUGACUUUGGAAGUAAAUGCUUUACCCAUGUUGAUUUUUGGUGUCUGCUAAUCUGUGAAAUGAAAAGAGCUAUCAUAUCUCUGAGUGUGUUAAUCCAAAUGUCUGAGAGCUCCUCCAAGACAAAGAAGAUGGGAGGCUGGCUUCAACGGCCCUGGAGGAAGAUCUCUUGGUCCCAGAAUCAUAUCUUUGCCCCUCUUUAUGGCUCUUCUAAGGGAAAAGUUAAACUGAUGCAAGUCCAGAUGGCACUGCAGGGACAGAGAGGAAAGAGAUAACAUCUGUUGAGCAUCCCCUGUGU
Equus caballus (horse) is the source of this 1672-nucleotide long non-coding RNA. The record is from Ensembl. NCBI's taxonomy places the organism in Eukaryota, Metazoa, Chordata, Mammalia, Perissodactyla, Equidae.